AACCACCUAGUUUAAUUUAAAACCUUCGAUUUGAAAUCGAAUGAUAAGAGUACAGCCCUUAGUGGUUU
This 68-nucleotide transfer RNA is filed under the name Eudohrnia metallica. Its description in RNAcentral is "tRNA-Ser". It matches the Rfam family "tRNA". Rfam says of the family: Transfer RNA (tRNA) molecules are approximately 80 nucleotides in length. Their secondary structure includes four short double-helical elements and three loops (D, anti-codon, and T loops). Further hydrogen bonds mediate the characteristic L-shaped molecular structure. tRNAs have two regions of fundamental functional importance: the anti-codon, which is responsible for specific mRNA codon recognition, and the 3' end, to which the tRNAs corresponding amino acid is attached (by aminoacyl-tRNA synthetases). tRNAs cope with the degeneracy of the genetic code in two manners: having more than one tRNA (with a specific anti-codon) for a particular amino acid; and 'wobble' base-pairing, i.e. permitting non-standard base-pairing at the 3rd anti-codon position. Lineage: Eukaryota; Metazoa; Arthropoda; Insecta; Dermaptera; Forficulidae. The record is from RNAcentral.